Molecule: ribosomal RNA, 492 nt
Filed under: uncultured bacterium
Lineage: Bacteria
Description: partial 16S ribosomal RNA
Rfam family: Bacterial small subunit ribosomal RNA
Source: RNAcentral
AGUGAACGCUGGCGGUAGGCCUAACACAUGCAAGUCGAACGGCAGCACAGUAAGAGCUUGCUCUUACGGGUGGCGAGUGGCGGACGGGUGAGGAAUACAUCGGAAUCUACUUUUUCGUGGGGGAUAACGUAGGGAAACUUACGCUAAUACCGCAUACGACCUACGGGUGAAAGCUGGGGAUCUUCGGACCUUGCGCGAUUGAAUGAGCCGAUGUCGGAUUAGCUAGUUGGCGGGGUAAAGGCCCACCAAGGCGACGAUCCGUAGCUGGUCUGAGAGGAUGAUCAGCCACACUGGAACUGAGACACGGUCCAGACUCCUACGGGAGGCAGCAGUGGGGAAUAUUGGACAAUGGGCGCAAGCCUGAUCCAGCCAUACCGCGUGGGUGAAGAAGGCCUUCGGGUUGUAAAGCCCUGUUGUUGGGAAAGAAAAGCAGCAGGUUAAUACCCCGCUGUUCUGACGGUACCCAAAGAAUAAGCACCGGCUAACUUCGUG